This 400-nucleotide ribosomal RNA is filed under the name uncultured bacterium. RNAcentral describes it as "bacterial SSU rRNA". It matches the Rfam family "Bacterial small subunit ribosomal RNA", at positions 356 to 773 of the family's 1533-position model. The record is from RNAcentral.
GGGGAAUAUUGGACAAUGGGCGAAAGCCUGAUCCAGCAAUGCCGCGUGAGUGAUGAAGGCCUUAGGGUUGUAAAGCUCUUUUACCCGGGAUGAUAAUGACAGUACCGGGAGAAUAAGCCCCGGCUAACUCCGUGCCAGCAGCCGCGGUAAUACGGAGGGGGCUAGCGUUGUUCGGAAUUACUGGGCGUAAAGCGCGCGUAGGCGGCUAUUCAAGUCAGAGGUGAAAGCCCGGAGCUCAACUCCGGAAUUGCCUUUGAAACUAGAUAGCUAGAAUCAUGGAGAGGCGAGUGGAAUUCCGAGUGUAGAGGUGAAAUUCGUAGAUAUUCGGAAGAACACCAGUGGCGAAGGCGACUCGCUGGACAUGUAUUGACGCUGAGGGGCGAAAGCGUGGGGAGCAAAC